Molecule: ribosomal RNA, 253 nt
Filed under: uncultured bacterium
Lineage: Bacteria
Description: partial 16S ribosomal RNA
Rfam family: Bacterial small subunit ribosomal RNA
Source: RNAcentral
UACGUAGGGUGCGAGCGUUAAUCGGAAUUACUGGGCGUAAAGCGUGCGCAGGCGGUAAUGUAAGACAGUUGUGAAAUCCCCGGGCUCAACCUGGGAACUGCAUCUGUGACUGCAUUGCUGGAGUACGGUAGAGGGGGAUGGAAUUCCGCGUGUAGCAGUGAAAUGCGUAGAUAUGCGGAGGAACACCGAUGGCGAAGGCAAUCCCCUGGACCUGUACUGACGCUCAUGCACGAAAGCGUGGGGAGCAAACAGG